AUGGAGGAGCGAUCUAGAUUGUUGGAUUGGGAGAAGCACCUGUUCUUAUUGGACACAACUAUCCUCAAUGAGGCGCAAAAGGAGUAUGUUAAUCUUUCCCGUGAAGAAGUCUUGAUCCAAAAAAGAGCCAUGAUUCGCGCCAUGGAUGGCGGUGGCCUUGGCGGCCUGGGAGGCAUGGGUGUCUUCGGAGCUACCAUGCGCGGCAUGGGUGCCAUGUGUGGCUUUGGAGCUACCAUGGAGACCAUGGGAGGCAUGGGUGGCUUUGCAACACCUCCGGGCGCCAUGGCCGGCAUGGGAGGCAUGAGUUUUGCGUCUCUCAUGGGAGGCAUGGGUGCACCUCCGGCUGCCAUGGGUGGAAUGUCUUCCGGUGUGCCUCAGACACCUUCCCAUGAAGAUGUCGUUAAAGAUCUUGCCAACACCGUCCGAGCUUCACGUGAUGCGGCGGGCGACAAUGAUGAAGAGGAGGAGGAAGAAUCGUCUUCGGAGGAGUCGGAUGAAUCAGAGGAAGAUGAGGACGAAGACGAGGACGAGCUUGAUUGUUGA
Molecule: ribosomal RNA, 543 nt
Filed under: Triticum aestivum (bread wheat)
Lineage: Eukaryota; Viridiplantae; Streptophyta; Magnoliopsida; Poales; Poaceae
Description: partial small subunit ribosomal RNA
Source: RNAcentral